AUCUGGUGUUGUGGACAACAUGCACACAACUUCUUAAAUCUCUCCUAGUAUUCAUAUAAGCUUUCUCCACCAAGCUGCUUAAUCCCAUAAAUGUCUUUUCUAAUAGUU
Non-coding RNA from Vigna angularis (adzuki bean), 108 nucleotides. NCBI's taxonomy places the organism in Eukaryota, Viridiplantae, Streptophyta, Magnoliopsida, Fabales, Fabaceae. The record is from Rfam.